This 468-nucleotide ribosomal RNA is filed under the name uncultured bacterium. RNAcentral describes it as "partial 16S ribosomal RNA". It matches the Rfam family "Bacterial small subunit ribosomal RNA", at positions 28 to 507 of the family's 1533-position model. The record is from RNAcentral.
GACGAACGCUGGCGGCGUGCUUAACACAUGCAAGUCGAACGGAAAGGCCCUGCUUUUGUGGGGUGCUCGAGUGGCGAACGGGUGAGUAACACGUGAGUAACCUUCCCUUGACUUUGGGAUAACUUCAGGAAACUGGGGCUAAUACCGGAUAGGAGCUCCUGCUGCAUGGUGGGGGUUGGAAAGUUUCGGCGGUUGGGGAUGGACUCGCGGCUUAUCAGCUUGUUGGUGGGGUAGUGGCUUACCAAGGCUUUGACGGGUAGCCGGCCUGAGAGGGUGACCGGCGACAUUGGGACUGAGAUACGGCGCAGUCUCGUACGGGAGGCAGCAGUGGGGAAUAUUGCACAAUGGGCGGAAGCCUGAUGCAGCAACGCCGCGUGCGGGAUGACGGCCUUCGGGCUGUAAACCGCAUUAGCCUGUGACGAAGCGUGAGUGACGGUAAUGGGUAAAGAAGCACCGGCUAACUACGUG